Molecule: ribosomal RNA, 253 nt
Filed under: uncultured bacterium
Lineage: Bacteria
Description: partial 16S ribosomal RNA
Rfam family: Bacterial small subunit ribosomal RNA
Source: RNAcentral
UACGAAGGGUGCAAGCGUUAAUCGGAAUUACUGGGCGUAAAGCGCGCGUAGGUGGUUCAGUAAGUUGGAUGUGAAAUCCCCGGGCUCAACCUGGGAACUGCAUCCAAAACUGCUGAGCUAGAGUACGGUAGAGGGUGGUGGAAUUUCCUGUGUAGCGGUGAAAUGCGUAGAUAUAGGAAGGAACACCAGUGGCGAAGGCGACCACCUGGACUGAUACUGACACUGAGGUGCGAAAGCGUGGGGAGCAAACAUG